This 274-nucleotide ribosomal RNA is filed under the name uncultured bacterium. Its description in RNAcentral is "partial 16S ribosomal RNA". It matches the Rfam family "Bacterial small subunit ribosomal RNA", at positions 523 to 796 of the family's 1533-position model. The record is from RNAcentral.
AUACAGAGGGUGCGAGCGUUAAUCGGAAUUACUGGGCGUAAAGCGUCCGGAGGCGGUUUGCUAAGUCUGAUGUGAAAGCCCCGGGCUUAACCUGGGAAUGGCAUUGGAUACUGGCAGGCUAGAGUCUGGUAGAGGGUGGUGGAAUUCCCGGUGUAGCGGUGAAAUGCGUAGAUAUCGGGAGGAACAUCGGUGGCGAAGGCGGCCACCUGGACCAAGACUGACGCUGAGGGACGAAAGCGUGGGGAGCAAACAGGAUUAGAAACCCCAGUAGUCC